CCUACGGGUGGCAGCAGUGAGGAAUAUUGGUCAAUGGACGAGAGUCUGAACCAGCCAAGUAGCGUGAAGGAUGACUGCCCUAUGGGUUGUAAACUUCUUUUAUAUGGGAAUAAAACGUUCCACGUGUGGGAUUUUGUAUGUACCAUAUGAAUAAGGAUCGGCUAACUCCGUGCCAGCAGCCGCGGUAAUACGGAGGAUCCGAGCGUUAUCCGGAUUUAUUGGGUUUAAAGGGAGCGUAGGUGGAUUGUUAAGUCAGUUGUGAAAGUUUGCGGCUCAACCGUAAAAUUGCAGUUGAAACUGGCAGUCUUGAGUACAGUAGAGGUGGGCGGAAUUCGUGGUGUAGCGGUGAAAUGCUUAGAUAUCACGAAGAACUCCGAUUGCGAAGGCAGUUCACUGGACUGCUACUGACACUGAGGCUCGAAAGUGUGGGUAUCAAACAGGAUUAGAUACCCUAGUAGUC
RNAcentral lists this ribosomal RNA (460 nucleotides) under uncultured bacterium. RNAcentral's name for it is "partial 16S ribosomal RNA". It matches the Rfam family "Bacterial small subunit ribosomal RNA", at positions 338 to 795 of the family's 1533-position model. The record is from RNAcentral.